This 254-nucleotide ribosomal RNA is filed under the name uncultured bacterium. RNAcentral describes it as "partial 16S ribosomal RNA". It matches the Rfam family "Bacterial small subunit ribosomal RNA", at positions 524 to 776 of the family's 1533-position model. The record is from RNAcentral.
UACGUAGGGUGCAAGCGUUAAUCGGAAUUACUGGGCGUAAAGCGUGCGCAGGCGGUGAUGUAAGACAGGUGUGAAAUCCCCGGGCUUAACCUGGGAACUGCAUUUGUGACUGCAUCGCUGGAGUGCGGCAGAGGGGGGAUGGAAUUCCGCGUGUAGCAGUGAAAUGCGUAGAUAUGCGGAGGAACACCGAUGGCGAAGGCAAUCCCCUGGGCCGAUACUGACGCUGAGGAGCGAAAGCGUGGGGAGCGAACAGG